UCAUUAAAUCAGUUAUAGUUUAUUUGAUGGUGUUUACUACGUGGAUAACCGUGGUAAUUCUAGAGCUAAUACAUGCAAAAGGUCCCGACUUUUUGGAAGGGACGUAUUUAUUAGAUCCAAAACCAAUGCGGGUGUUGCUGCCUCGGUAGUGCCCCGGUACCUUGGUGAUUCAUAGUAACUGUUCGAAUCGCUUGGCCCUCGUGCCGGCGAUGGUUCAUUCAAGUUUCUGCCCUAUCAACUUUCGAUGGUAGGGUAUUGGCCUACCAUGGUUGCAACGGGUGACGGAGAAUUAGGGUUCGAUUCCGGAGAGGGAGCCUGAGAAACGGCUACCACAUCCAAGGAAGGCAGCAGGCGCGCAAAUUACCCAAUCCCGACUCGGGGAGGUAGUGACAAUAAAUAACAA
RNAcentral lists this ribosomal RNA (403 nucleotides) under Haliclona cf. caerulea Hawaii AM 1. RNAcentral describes it as "SSU rRNA". It matches the Rfam family "Eukaryotic small subunit ribosomal RNA", at positions 98 to 483 of the family's 1831-position model. RNAcentral also lists the same sequence under 9 other names. Lineage: Eukaryota; Metazoa; Porifera; Demospongiae; Haplosclerida; Chalinidae. The record is from RNAcentral.